Molecule: transfer RNA, 67 nt
Filed under: Marmota monax (woodchuck)
Lineage: Eukaryota; Metazoa; Chordata; Mammalia; Rodentia; Sciuridae
Description: tRNA.Ala
Rfam family: tRNA
About the family: Transfer RNA (tRNA) molecules are approximately 80 nucleotides in length. Their secondary structure includes four short double-helical elements and three loops (D, anti-codon, and T loops). Further hydrogen bonds mediate the characteristic L-shaped molecular structure. tRNAs have two regions of fundamental functional importance: the anti-codon, which is responsible for specific mRNA codon recognition, and the 3' end, to which the tRNAs corresponding amino acid is attached (by aminoacyl-tRNA synthetases). tRNAs cope with the degeneracy of the genetic code in two manners: having more than one tRNA (with a specific anti-codon) for a particular amino acid; and 'wobble' base-pairing, i.e. permitting non-standard base-pairing at the 3rd anti-codon position.
Source: RNAcentral
GGUUGUGACUCAGUGGUAGAGUGCUUGCUUAGCAUGCAUGAGGCCCUGGGUUCAAUCCCCAGCACCA